GCCAGGUGCAGUGAAGUGCACCUGUAAUCCCAGCUACUCAGGAGGCUGAGGCAGGAGAAUUGCUUGAACCCGGGAGGUGGAGGUUGCAGUGAGCCGAGAUCGCACCACUGCACUCCAGCCUGGGUGACAGAGCGAGACUCUGUCUCAA
Non-coding RNA from Homo sapiens (human), 148 nucleotides. It matches the Rfam family "Metazoan signal recognition particle RNA". Rfam says of the family: The signal recognition particle (SRP) is a universally conserved ribonucleoprotein. The record is from Rfam. Lineage: Eukaryota; Metazoa; Chordata; Mammalia; Primates; Hominidae.